GAAGGGUUUACGGCUCGUAAAGCUCUGUUGUUAAAGAAGAACACGUAUGAGAGUAACUGUUCAUACGUUGACGGUAUUUAACCAGAAAGUCACGGCUAACUACGUGCCAGCAGCCGCGGUAAUACGUAGGUGGCAAGCGUUAUCCGGAUUUAUUGGGCGUAAAGAGAGUGCAGGCGGGUUUUCUAAGUCUGAUGUGAAAGCCUUCGGCUUAACCGGAGAAGUGCAUCGGAAACUGGAUAACUUGAGUGCAGAAGAGGGUAGUGGAACUCCAUGUGUAGCGGUGGAAUGCGUAGAUAUAUGGAAGAACACCAGUGGCGAAGGCGGCUACCUGGUCUGCAACUGACGCUGAGACUCGAAAGCAUGGGUAGCGAACAGGAUUAGAUACCCUGGUAG
RNAcentral lists this ribosomal RNA (393 nucleotides) under uncultured bacterium. Its description in RNAcentral is "bacterial SSU rRNA". It matches the Rfam family "Bacterial small subunit ribosomal RNA", at positions 410 to 793 of the family's 1533-position model. The record is from RNAcentral.